Molecule: ribosomal RNA, 459 nt
Filed under: uncultured bacterium
Lineage: Bacteria
Description: SSU rRNA
Rfam family: Bacterial small subunit ribosomal RNA
Source: RNAcentral
AGAAUCAACGCUGGCGGCGUGCCUAACACAUGCAAGUCGAACGAGAAAGUGGAGCAAUCCAUGAGUAAAGUGGCGCACGGGUGAGUAACACGUGACUAACCUACCCUUGAGUGGGGGAUAACCUAGAGAAAUCUGGGCUAAUACCGCAUAAUACCUUCGGGUCAAAGGAGCAAUUCGCUUAAGGAGGGGGUCGCGGCCGAUUAGUUAGUUGGCGGGGUAAUGGCCCACCAAGACUAUGAUCGGUAUCCGGCCUGAGAGGGCGCACGGACACACCUGGAACUGAAACACGGUCCAGACUCCUACGGGAGGCAGCAGUGGGAAUUUUGCGCAAUGGGGGAAACCCUGACGCAGCAACGCCGCGUGGAGGAUGAAGUCCCUUGGGACGUAAACUCCUUUCGAUCGGGACGAUAAUGACGGUACCGAGAGAAGAAGCCCGGCUAACUUCGCGCCAGCAGCCGC